This 460-nucleotide ribosomal RNA is filed under the name uncultured bacterium. RNAcentral's name for it is "partial 16S ribosomal RNA". It matches the Rfam family "Bacterial small subunit ribosomal RNA", at positions 338 to 795 of the family's 1533-position model. The record is from RNAcentral.
CCUACGGGUGGCAGCAGUGAGGAAUAUUGGUCAAUGGACGAGAGUCUGAACCAGCCAAGUAGCGUGAAUGAUGACUGCCCUAUGGGUUGUAAACUUCUUUUAUAAAGGAAUAAAACGAGGCACGUGUGCCUUUUUGCAUGUCCUUUAUGAAUAAGGAUCGGCUAACUCCGUGCCAGCAGCCGCGGUAAUACGGAGGAUCCGAGCGUUAUCCGGAUUUAUUGGGUUUAAAGGGAGCGUAGAUGGGUUGUUAAGUCAGUUGUGAAAGUUUGCGGCUCAACCGUAAAAUUGCAAUUGAUACUGGCAGUCUUGAGUACAGUUGAGGUAGGCGGAAUUCGUGGUGUAGCGGUGAAAUGCUUAGAUAUCACGAAGAACCCCGAUUGCGAAGGCAGCUUACUAAACUGUGACUGACAUUGAUGCUCGAAAGCGUGGGUAGCAAACAGGAUUAGAUACCCUUGUAGUC